AGGGUUUGAUCCUGGCUCAGAACGAACGCUGGCGGCGUGGCUAAGACAUGCAAGUCGAACGGACUAUAUGACUGAGUAAUCAUGACUAUAGUUAGUGGCGAAAGGGUUAGUAAUGGAUAGGUAACGUACCCCGAUCUCUGGGGUAGCCAUCCGAGAGGAUGGGUAAUACCGGAUAAUAUCACAGACUGAUAGGUUUGUGAUCAAAGAUUCAUCGGACUGGGAGCGGCCUAUCUCCUAUCAGCUAGUUGGUAAGGUAAUGGCUUACCAAGGCAAUGACGGGUAGCGGGACUGAGAGGUUGGCCCGCAACAUCGGGACUGAGACACUGCCCGGACCUCCACGGAGGGCUGCAGUAACGAAUAUUGCGCAAUGGGCGAAAGCCUGACGCACGACGCCGCGUGUAGGAUGAAGUCCCUCGGGAUGUAAACUACUGUCAGGGGUAAGAAAGUGCGUUUCGGCGCAUUGAUCUAACCCAUAGGAAGUCACGGCUAACUUCGUGCCAGCAGCCGCGGUAAGACGAAGGUGGCUAGCGUUGUUCGGUGUCACUGGGCUUAAAGAGUAUGUAGGCGGAAAGAUAAGCGUCUUGUGAAAUCCCUCAGCUUAACUGAGGAAUUGCUGGGCGAACUGUCUUUCUUGAGGCAAGUAGGGGUGCAUGGAACUCUUGGUGGAGCGGUGGAAUGCGUAGAUAUCAAGAGGAACGCCGAUGGUGAAGACAGUGCACUAGGCUUGUCCUGACGCUGAGAUACGAAAGCGUGGGGAGCAAACAGGAUUAGAUACCCUGGUAGUCCACGCCGUAAACGAUGCCUACUAGGCUGUGGGGGUUCUGACGCCUUCACGGCCGAAGCAAAGUGUUAAGUAGGCCGCCUGGGGAGUACGGUCGCAAGGCUAAAACUCAAAGGAAUUGACGGGGGCUCACACAAGCGGUGGAGCAUGUGGAUUAAUUCGAAUCAACGCGCAGAACCUUACCUAGGCUUGACAUGCUUGGAUGCCCAUCUGGAAACAGAGUAGGCUGCCCUUCGGGGUGAAACUUGCACAGGUGCUGCAUGGCUGUCGUCAGCUCGUGUCGUGAGAUGUUGGGUUAAGUCCUUAAACGAGCGAAACCCUUGCCCUUAGUUACCAGCGGUUCGGCCGGGAACUCUAAGGGGACUGCCGGUGUUAAACCGGAGGAAGGUGGGGAUGACGUCAAGUCCUCAUGGCCUUUAUGUCUAGGGCUUCACACGUGCUACAAUGGCAACGACAGAGCGAUGCGAGACCGCGAGGUGGAGCUAAUCGCAAAAACGUUGUCCCAGUACGGAUUGUAGGCUGUCAACUCGCCUGCAUGAAGUUGGAAUCGCUAGUAAUCGCGUAUCAGCUAUGACGCGGUGAAUGUGUUCCUGAGCCUUGUACACAC
RNAcentral lists this ribosomal RNA (1388 nucleotides) under metagenome. RNAcentral describes it as "bacterial SSU rRNA". It matches the Rfam family "Bacterial small subunit ribosomal RNA". The record is from RNAcentral.